RNAcentral lists this ribosomal RNA (465 nucleotides) under uncultured bacterium. RNAcentral's name for it is "bacterial SSU rRNA". It matches the Rfam family "Bacterial small subunit ribosomal RNA", at positions 331 to 793 of the family's 1533-position model. The record is from RNAcentral.
CCAGACUCCUACGGGAGGCAGCAGUGAGGAAUAUUGGUCAAUGGUCGGGAGACUGAACCAGCCAAGCCGCGUGAGGGAUGAAGGUACAGAGUAUCGUAAACCUCUUUUGUCAGGGAACAAAGGCGGGGACGUGUCCCCGGAUGAGUGUACCUGAAGAAAAAGCAUCGGCUAACUCCGUGCCAGCAGCCGCGGUAAUACGGAGGAUGCGAGCGUUAUCCGGAUUUAUUGGGUUUAAAGGGUGCGCAGGCGGCGGGGUAAGCCCGGGGUGGAAGCCCGGGGCCCAACCCCGGACCCGCCGUUGAAACUGGCAGUCUCGAGUUGGAGAGAAGUAUGCGGAAUGCGCGGUGUAGCGGUGAAAUGCAUAGAUAUCACGCAGAACUCCGAUUGCGAAGGCAGCAUACCGGCGCCCAACUGACGCUCAGGCACGAAAGCGUGGGUAUCGAACAGGAUUAGAUACCCUCGUAA